GAAAACUAGCAUAGGUUAAUACAGUGAACAGGGAGUGCAUGGGGUAAAACCGGGAAUGGAUUUGAAUCAUGAAUCCGCAGCACCUCAUAGUGCCCUGGGCUUGAUCCUCUUGGCUGUGAUAGUGGCCCUGGCUCUUCUGACAAGUCUUGGAUUUUGAUUUAGGAAACACUGGUGAGUUCUUUGUAUCAAUCUGUUCUGUUCAUUCCUCCUCCCCAAUGGUCUUCCCUUCUGUUUUGACUUUUUCCUCACUUUCCUUCUCCUCUCAGCCCCAUUCCCAUUUUCUGCUCAGGUCUCACCUCCACCUUAUGAAGGUCUGUUAUUUCUCUGUUCUCAUUUGGUUCACUUAGGACCCACUGUGAAGCUCCCUGCAGUGCUGUCCCUUCGAAGUGAGGACCCAGCUACCCAGGUGCCCAGUCUACACCUGGACACCAUGUGGUGAUGACAUCACUUCCUUGUUAAAGCUUGGUGAUUCAUUUCCAUUCCAUGAUCAGUUACUAAUAUAUGCUCUAUGUGAUCUUGCAGGAUUUGUGACCUUGUUAGGAAUAGGAUCCUAACAAGCUCUGCCUGGUUAGAUAUAAAUGUAUUAUCAGAUGUGUUUCAGAUGUCACAUCCUACAGAGGUUUCUUUCUUGAUUCACAGUGGGACACAAUCUCUCCUCACGUGUGCAACUCCCUACAUUUCAACUAUACCCUUUACUGUCUGCCCUCUGUGGAAGUUUUGUAAAUUCAUUUUUUUCUUUUAAGGUUUUAGAAAUUUGAGAGCAAAGCACAUGCUUUUUAAAUAUCUGUAUCCCUGGUGAAGUGUCUGGCCUGCAUGUGACAUGUCCUCAGUGAAAACCUGUGUUGAAUUUAGGUUGAGAGGCACCUCAUGGUGGUGAUACCUGAAAUAUGGCCCAAGUGCAUCACUGAGGAGGGGAUCAAAAAUGGAGUCAAAGUGCUGCUCUUGAGGACUGAAGUAGGUCCGGCUUCAUGGAAGAAUUUACUUGAGGUGAACUUGCGGAAAUGGAAUUAGCCUUAUUUUGCUUAGAGAGUGAGAAGAGGGAACCCAGGAAAAAGAAAACAUCUAGAGAGACCAGGUGCAGGUGACAGCACACGCUGAAAAUUCUCCCAUGGAUUUCCUCCUGAAAAAUGCAUUCUUGCAUUCACUUGUCGUGCCUUCAUUCAUCACACAUCUGGCUGUGACUGUUUGUGUGGUCAACGUAUUUACUGAGAAUAACUCCAAAAUACAGGGAAAUAAUUAGAAAAGAAGAACAGAGGAAAAGGUAAAAACAUGAAAUGGAGGAAAGUAAAUGGGUGUCAGCUGAAGUGUUUUUACUUGGAUGGAACAUGACUGGCUACCACUCAUGCAGCUUCCAGUUCACUUUUCCACAUUUGCUUGUGAGCAAUGUGGUUUCAGCUGAUUGAUUUCACUCUCAGCUGUGAUGCUAAGCCCAAGGCAAUCAUGAUAUCCCUCCUUUGACAAUGUGAUGGGCUAAAGAAUAAACAGGUAGCCUCUAAUUCAAGAUAACAUCACAGAGAUCCAUUUACAUUUUCUUGAAGAGGUGAGUCAGUAUAUGAGCCUGUCCUAUUUGGUCUGGCUCAGUUUAUGUGCAGCCUGAAUUUCAUUUUUGAUGGUGGGGGAAAAAGAUGGUCUAUCUUGUUCUGGAUGUUACCCUGGUGGGUAUACAUCACUCGUUACUUUUCCAGCACCAGAAAAACAAUUCUACCGAUGAAAUCAGAUGGACAAGAAAUUAGAGGGAACAAACUCACUGAAGAGUCCAGAUGAAACCACAUUCAAAGCCUGAAUGAAUCCUGGACUUCUCAGUCCUGUUGGUCAAUACACUUUCUUGAGUUUUUUCAGGUCUUCAAAUUGGGGGUCCUCUUGUUGGAGACUGAAAGCAUCCUGCUUACUGCACACAGAUGUUGGGGGACUCAGCUGAUCUCUACUUUUGGUUGUAGCAUUAUUUUACUUCUUUCUUCCUCUUCCUUUCUUCCAGAAAUUAGCUAUUCUCUAAAACUUAUCUCUUUUAUUUUUUUCAUGCCAGUUUUAAACUUUUAACCUGUUUUGGUUUUAACUGUGGCAUGUGGAUAAGCACCUCUCUGGGAUCUUCAUGGAUUUUUGUAAAACCACUGAUGAGGAAUCAAAGUGGUGGUUAUGUUCCUUGAAUA
Long non-coding RNA from Marmota monax (woodchuck), 2147 nucleotides. RefSeq lists it as uncharacterized. The transcript has 3 exons. NCBI's taxonomy places the organism in Eukaryota, Metazoa, Chordata, Mammalia, Rodentia, Sciuridae. The record is from RefSeq and is a predicted model, not a curated record.